GUGCCAGCAGCCGCGGUAAUACAGAGGUGCCAAGCGUUGUUCGGAUUUAUUGGGCGUAAAGGGUGCGUAGGCGGUGAUGCAAGUCGGGUGUGAAAUACCGGAGCCUAACUCCGGAACGGCAUCCGAAACUGCAUUGCUAGAGGUCUGGAGAGGUGAUUGGAAUUCUCGGUGUAGCAGUGAAAUGCGUAGAUAUCGAGAGGAACACCAGAGGCGAAGGCGAAUCACUAGACAGUACCUGACGCUGAGGCGCGAAGGCUAGGGGAGCAAACGGGAUUAGAUACCCCGGUAGUCC
Molecule: ribosomal RNA, 292 nt
Filed under: uncultured bacterium
Lineage: Bacteria
Description: partial 16S ribosomal RNA
Rfam family: Bacterial small subunit ribosomal RNA
Source: RNAcentral